GAUGAACGCUGGCGGCGUGCUUAACACAUGCAAGUCGAACGAGAAUCAACGGAUUGAGGAUUCGUCCAAAUGAAGUUGAGGAAAGUGGCGGACGGGUGAGUAACGCGUGAGGAACCUGCCUCGGAGUGGGGAAUAACAGUUGGAAACGGCUGCUAAUACCGAAUACGUUCUUUUUGUCGCAUGGCAGAGGGAAGAAAGGGAGGCUCUUCGGAGCUUUCGCUGAAGGAGGGGCUUGCGUCUGAUUAGCUAGUUGGAGGGGUAACGGCCCACCAAGGCGACGAUCAGUAGCCGGUCUGAGAGGAUGAACGGCCACAUUGGGACUGAGACACGGCCCAG
Molecule: ribosomal RNA, 336 nt
Filed under: uncultured bacterium
Lineage: Bacteria
Description: bacterial SSU rRNA
Rfam family: Bacterial small subunit ribosomal RNA
Source: RNAcentral